RNAcentral lists this long non-coding RNA (681 nucleotides) under Fukomys damarensis (Damara mole-rat). RNAcentral's name for it is "lncRNA (ENSFDAG00000024851.1)". The record is from RNAcentral. Lineage: Eukaryota; Metazoa; Chordata; Mammalia; Rodentia; Bathyergidae.
CUGACAAUGAGUCUAAUAGUUUGAAAAUAUGAAGUUGGAUAUGUUUUUGGCAUUGUCAUAUUUGGGUAACUGCAUUUGAAUGCAAAAAUUACUUUUUAUAUUAAUCACAUUAUUUAAAAUAAAAAUGACAUUUUCAUUGCUAAGUACCAAACUCUUGUAGGAAUUGACUUUGACACCUAGAAGUCCUGUAGUGAUUCAACCAGAAAAGAAAUAAAACCUGGGUAGACAGCCAGCCCCAUGAAAGAAUGAAAACUGUUUCCUAUUACCAUCAAGCCCCUAGACAGAAAGAGAAAGAAACGGAGAGGACAAUGUAGGAAAGGCAGCAAAAACAAGGAAAUUGAGGAAUUACUUAAAAAAAAAAAGCUGCGAGUCACUCCUACAGGACGCAACGCUCCCAGUUUCUCCCAGCCGCCAGCCUGGAGGGGCCAAAUGCCGCCGGAUCUGAUCCACAGAUUCUGCGCUCCCAAAAAUCGCGGAGGAAGACAGGGCUUUUCAAAAGGUAAUGAAUGUGAAAAGGAUGGAACCUACCAAGGAGAGGAAAAGACACCAGUUCUGAGUGCACAGUGGAGAUGCCACCCAAGACAUGGCCAGGAGCUGGCCAGGGAGACAGCCCUCGGGAGAAAGCAAGACAACUUUCUUAAUCUUCCAGCCUCCAGAACUGCAAGAACACAAAUCUCUCUG